Molecule: small nucleolar RNA, 140 nt
Organism: Grammomys surdaster
Lineage: Eukaryota; Metazoa; Chordata; Mammalia; Rodentia; Muridae
Product: small nucleolar RNA SNORA48
Exons: 1
Source: RefSeq, a predicted model, not a curated record
UCCUCCAGCAAUGGGCAAAGAGACACCUUGUUUGUGUUGUUCUUAUAUCAAUCAGGGGCAGAGCAGACGGUCGUCCUUUGUUCACUCUAGCUUGAUGCCUGGCUUGGUGGCCAAAGCUGUUUUAAGCCUAGGAUGCAUAA